UAAAGCACUUUUAUGGGGGAAGAUGAUGACGGUACCCCAUGAAUAAGCACCGGCUAACUACGUGCCAGCAGCCGCGGUAAUACGUAGGGUGCGAGCGUUGUUCGGAAUUACUGGGCGUAAAGGGCGUGCAGGCGGAUUGGCAAGCCGGAGGUGAAAGCCCGGGGCUCAACCCCGGAGGGUCUUUCGGAACUGCCAGUCUUGAGAGGGUCAGGGGCCAGCGGAAUUCCUGGUGUAGAGGUGAAAUUCGUAGAGAUCAGGAGGAACACCGGCGGCGAAAGCGGCUGGCUGGGGCCACUCUGACGCUGAGGCGCGAAAGCGUGGGGAGCAAACAGGAUUAGAUACCCUGGUAGUCCACGCCGUAAACGAUGGGCACUAAGCGUCCGACGGGUUCGACCCUGUUGGGUGCUGCAGUUAACGCGUUAAGUGCCCCGCCUGGGGAGUACGGUCGCAAGACUA
This 456-nucleotide ribosomal RNA is filed under the name uncultured delta proteobacterium. RNAcentral describes it as "bacterial SSU rRNA". It matches the Rfam family "Bacterial small subunit ribosomal RNA", at positions 426 to 896 of the family's 1533-position model. Lineage: Bacteria; Deltaproteobacteria. The record is from RNAcentral.